Molecule: ribosomal RNA, 395 nt
Filed under: uncultured Pelotomaculum sp.
Lineage: Bacteria; Bacillati; Bacillota; Clostridia; Eubacteriales; Desulfotomaculaceae
Description: bacterial SSU rRNA
Rfam family: Bacterial small subunit ribosomal RNA
Source: RNAcentral
UCGACCGCGUAUGAAAGUACGAAUUCACCUUCGGGUGACAGGGAGACAGGUGGUGCAUGGUUGUCGUCAGCUCGUGUCGUGAGAUGUUGGGUUAAGUCCCGCAACGAGCGCAACCCCUACGUUUAGUUGCUAACGCGUGAAGGCGAGCACUCUAGACGAACUGCCGUUGACAAAACGGAGGAAGGUGGGGAUGACGUCAAAUCAUCAUGCCCCUUAUGUUCUGGGCUACACACGUGCUACAAUGGCCGGUACAGACGGACGCAAAGCCGCGAGGUGGAGCAAAUCCUAAAAAGCCGGUCUCAGUUCGGAUUGCAGGCUGCAAUUCGCCUGCAUGAAGUUGGAGUUGCUAGUAAACGCAGGUCAGCCAUACUGCGUUGAAUACGUUCCCGGGGCUU